Macaca mulatta (Rhesus monkey) is the source of this 2303-nucleotide non-coding RNA. NCBI's taxonomy places the organism in Eukaryota, Metazoa, Chordata, Mammalia, Primates, Cercopithecidae. The record is from RefSeq and is a predicted model, not a curated record.
UGGCUAAUUUUUGUAUUUUUUUGUAGAGAUGAGGUUUCACCAUGUUGCCCUGGCUGGUCUCUUAAUUCCUGGACUCAUGCAAUUCACCUACCUCCACCUCCCAAAGUGCUGGGUUCACAGGCAUGAGCCACUGUGCCUCGCCGUAGUAUGUCUUUAUGCAAAGCAGAAGUGACCCCCUUCUCAAGGCAUUUUAUUUCCAUAUGUCUGAAAAUUGUUACAAUGAACGGAUUCUGUAAUAACAAGGCAUUUUACUGCCAUCUACUGGUAAAUUAUCAUAAUAAAUUUACAAAUUACAAUAUCAUGUGAAUGGUGUCCACUUAAAAGUGAUAUCCUUCAAGACUAGUGAACAAUACAGUCAGGAUGGCUAAUGGUAACCCCAGGAAACCAAGAGGCAAGAUGUCUGCUUUUGCCUUCUUUGUACAGAUGUGCAGAGAAGAACAUAAGAAAAACCCAGAGGUCCCUGUCAAUUUUGCAGAAUUUUCCAAAAAGUGCUCUAAGAGGUGGAAGACAAUGUCUGGGAAAGAGAAGUCUAGGCCGGGCACAGCAGCUUAUGCCUGUAAUCUCAGCACUUUGGGAGGGUGAGGCGGGUGGAUCACCUGAGGUAAGGAGUUUGAGACCAGCCUGGCCAACACGGUGAAACCCCGUCUCUACUAAAAAUACAAAAAAUUAGCUGGACAUGUUGGUGGGUGCCUGUAAUCCCAGCUGCUGGGGAGGCUGAGGCAGGAGAAUGGCUUGAACCCAAGAGGCAGAGGUUGCAGUGAGCUGAGAUCGUGCCAUUGCACUUCAGCCUGGGCAACAAGAGCAAAACUUCAUCUCAGAAAAAAAAAAAAGAAGAGAGAGAAGUCUAAAUUCGAUUAAAUGGCAAAGGCAGAUAAAGUGCACAAUGAUACAGAAAGGAAGGAUUAUGGACCAGCUAAGGGAGGCAAGAAUAAUGAUCCUAAUGCCCCCAAAAGGCCACUGUCUGGAUUCUUCCUGUUCUGUUCAGAAUUCCACCCCAAGAUGAAAUCCACAAACCCCGGCAUCUCUAUUGGAGAUGUGGCAAAAAAGCUGGGUGAGAUGUGGAAGAACUUAAAUGACAGUGAAAAGCAGCCUUAUGUCACUAAGGUGGCAAAACUGAUGAAGUAUGAGAAGGAUGUUGCUGACUAUAAGUCGAAAGGAAAGUUGGAUGGUGCAAAAGGUCCUGCUAAAGUUGCCUGGGAAGACAUGGAAGAGGAAGAUGAAGAAGAGGAGGAGGAAGAGGAGAAGGUAGAUGAAUAAACUGUCAAAAAAAAAGUGAUAUCCUUCUUCAGGGCAAAAUUCAUCCAACUAAAUGUGUUAAGUCUGUGAUUUGGCACUGUUGUGACGAACCCUGCAGACAGUAAAAUGUAGACACUUUCUAGGUGGUUUUGUUCUUUCUUUUUUUCCCCUGUUUUGUUACUGUUUUUCUUAAACACAUCAUUGAAGUAUUCACUGUCAGUCUUAUCACUGCAAAGCUUAAGCCUAUUUAGACAUACAUGAAAGUAGAAGUCCAAUAAAUACAAAUCAAAUUAUCAAAGAACAAUUGAUUUUCUUCACUCUAGUCCAAAUCUAGAACAAUCCUGGAUGUUUUAGGACUGUUUUUCUUGCUCAAAACAUUUUAUGAAAUAGCCUGAUCACCUCUUCAGAAGCCUCUCUCAAUCUAUUGCUUGUUGAGACUAUCAUAUGCACUAAGGUUUCUCCUAAACAUUUCUAGGUAUAAAUUCAUUAAUAUGCUUAACAACCUUAUGGGGUAGGAGCCCUUAUUCUCUGCAUCCCAUAGGUGAGGCAACUGAAGCACAAAGAAGUUACAUUUCAAGUGAUGCUAUUACAAACAUAGCUUCCUUGGGGAGCUUACAGUCUACUGGGGACACAAAACGAAACAAAGCCAUGUAAAGAUUUUUAAACAAUAUAAAGGAGAAAAUACUUUGGACCCUGUUAGACAAGUCAUUUAUCUCCUCCCGGUUGCAGCUUCUUUAUCUGUAUAACGUAGAAGUUGGAUUUGCCCAAGAUCACACAGCUAAUAAAUGGCAGAGCUAGAAUCUGAACUUGAGUGUUUCAGCUUCAGAGCCCAAUAUUGUAAUCAUUAUGCUAUACUAUCUGCUAGUUCAUGGCCUGUUUUUGUUCCUUUGCUGCCUGCCUGCAGGCAACAAGUAUUUGUGUUGCCUAGGCUCCUACUAUUUUUACCUACAGGAUCCGCAGGUGCCCAGUGGGCCCCUGUCUUCUCAGCAUCUUGCAUUCUUGCAGAUCCCAGGAAUACCCAUGACCCUUGGCUUAAGGACAUGGACAUCAAGGUGAAAAAAUUAGGA